Non-coding RNA from Leucoraja erinaceus (little skate), 82 nucleotides. Lineage: Eukaryota; Metazoa; Chordata; Chondrichthyes; Rajiformes; Rajidae. The record is from the annotation of a RefSeq genome assembly.
ACUGUGAUGGUCGAGUGGUUAAGGCGUUGGACUUGGAAUCCAAUGCUGUCACCCAGCGCAGGUUCGAACCCUGCUCACGCCG